RNAcentral lists this ribosomal RNA (253 nucleotides) under uncultured bacterium. RNAcentral's name for it is "partial 16S ribosomal RNA". It matches the Rfam family "Bacterial small subunit ribosomal RNA", at positions 524 to 776 of the family's 1533-position model. The record is from RNAcentral.
UACGUAGGUGGCAAGCGUUGUCCGGAUUUACUGGGCGUAAAGAGCGCGCAGGCGGUCGUGCAAGUCGCGUGUGAAAGCCCCCGGCUCAACUGGGGAGGGUCACGCGAUACUGCUCGACUCGAAGGCAGGAGAGGGAAGUGGAAUUCCCGGUGUAGUGGUGAAAUGCGUAGAUAUCAGGAGGAACACCAAUGGCGAAGGCAGCUCGCUGGGCCGGUACUGACGCUGAGGAGCGAAAGCGUGGGGAGCGAACAGG